This 258-nucleotide ribosomal RNA is filed under the name uncultured bacterium. RNAcentral's name for it is "partial 16S ribosomal RNA". It matches the Rfam family "Bacterial small subunit ribosomal RNA", at positions 524 to 777 of the family's 1533-position model. The record is from RNAcentral.
UACGUAGGUGGCAAGCGUUUGUCCGGAUUUACUGGGCGUAAAGAGCGCGCAGGCGGUCGUUCAAGUCGCGUGUGAAAGCCCCCCGGCUCAACUGGGGAGGGUCACGCGAUACUGAUCGACUCGAAGGCAGGAGAGGGUAGUGGAAUUCCCGGUGUAGUGGUGAAAUGCGUAGAUAUCGGGAGGAACACCAGUGGCGAAGGCGACUACCUGGCCUGUUCUUGACGCUGAGGCGCGAAAAGCUAGGGGGAGCAAACGGGG